This 447-nucleotide ribosomal RNA is filed under the name uncultured bacterium. RNAcentral's name for it is "partial 16S ribosomal RNA". It matches the Rfam family "Bacterial small subunit ribosomal RNA", at positions 329 to 793 of the family's 1533-position model. The record is from RNAcentral.
UGCCAGACUCCUACGGGAGGCAGCAGUGGGGGAUAUUGCACAAUGGGGGGAACCCUGAUGCAGCGACGCCGCGUGAGUGAAGAAGUAUUUCGGUAUGUAAAGCUCUAUCAGCAGGGACGAAGAUGGCGGUACCUGCAGAAGAAGCCCCGGCUAACUACGUGCCAGCAGCCGCGGUAAUACGUAGGGGGCAAGCGUUAUCCGGAUUUACUGGGUGUAAAGGGAGCGUAGGCGGUUUAGCAAGUCAGAAGUGAAAGCCCGGGGCUCAACGCCGGGACUGCUUUUGAAACUGUUGAACUAGAUUGCAGGAGAGGUAAGUGGAAUUCCUAGUGUAGCGGUGAAAUGCGUAGAUAUUAGGAGGAACACCAGUGGCGAAGGCGGCUUACUGGACUGUAAAUGACGCUGAGGCUCGAAAGCGUGGGGAGCAAACAGGAUUAGAUACCCUUGUAC